UAUGUUCAAUCGUUGGUAUAAGUGUCCACAUCAACAACCAACAACACAUCAUACAAGCUCUUCAAUGGAGUGUAUGUUAAUCAUAUGUAAAAUAACUAAGCGGGUCCACUAAAUAUUGAAGAAAUAACCAUGCUUGCCUCGGAGCUUGUGCGUGAACCGUUGCUUCAAGUUCAUACGAUUUCAUUCUCUCUCUUCUUUUAUUAUGCGCCAUGUCAUCAAAAUCAUCUAUGUGGCAAUUUUACCAACGAUGAU
RNAcentral lists this long non-coding RNA (252 nucleotides) under Hordeum vulgare. Its description in RNAcentral is "long non-coding RNA (HVUL_LNC012825)". Lineage: Eukaryota; Viridiplantae; Streptophyta; Magnoliopsida; Poales; Poaceae. The record is from RNAcentral.